RNAcentral lists this ribosomal RNA (433 nucleotides) under uncultured bacterium. RNAcentral describes it as "partial 16S ribosomal RNA". It matches the Rfam family "Bacterial small subunit ribosomal RNA", at positions 29 to 507 of the family's 1533-position model. The record is from RNAcentral.
AACGAACGCUGGCGGCAUGCCUAACACAUGCAAGUCGAACGAUGCCUUCGGGCAUAGUGGCGCACGGGUGCGUAACGCGUGGGAAUCUGCCUUUCGGUUCGGAAUAACUCAGGGAAACUUGAGCUAAUACCGGAUAACGUCGCAAGACCAAAGAUUUAUCACCGAAAGAUGAGCCCGCGUAGGAUUAGCUAGUUGGUGAGGUAAAGGCUCACCAAGGCGACGAUCCUUAGCUGGUCUGAGAGGAUGAUCAGCCACACUGGGACUGAGACACGGCCCAGACUCCUACGGGAGGCAGCAGUGGGGAAUAUUGGACAAUGGGCGAAAGCCUGAUCCAGCAAUGCCGCGUGAGUGGUGAAGGCCUUAGGGUUGUAAAGCUCUUUUACCCGGGAAGAUAAUGACGGUACCGGGAGAAUAAGCCCCGGCUAACUCCGUG